UGGUGUUACUGCGAAGGGGGGACGGAGAAGGCUAUGUUAGCCGGGCGACGGUUGUCCCGGUUUAAGCAUGUAGGCUGGUUGUCCAGGCAAAUCCGGAUAAUCAAGGCUGAGGUGUGAUGACGAGGCACUACGGUGCUGAAGUAACAAAUGCCCUGCUUCCAGGAAAAGCCUCUAAGCAUCAGGUAACAUCAAAUCGUACCCCAAACCGACACAGGUGGUCAGGUAGAGAAUACCAAGGCGCUUGAGAGAACUCGGGUGAAGGAACUAGGCAAAAUGGUGCCGUAACUUCGGGAGAAGGCACGCUGGUGUGUAGGUGAAGCCCCUGCGGGUGGAGCUGAGACCAGUCGAAGAUACCAGCUGGCUGCAACUGUUUAUUAAAAACACAGCACUGUGCAAACACGAAAGU
RNAcentral lists this ribosomal RNA (406 nucleotides) under Klebsiella pneumoniae. Its description in RNAcentral is "partial 23S ribosomal RNA". It matches the Rfam family "Bacterial large subunit ribosomal RNA", at positions 1446 to 1838 of the family's 2925-position model. The record is from RNAcentral. Lineage: Bacteria; Pseudomonadati; Pseudomonadota; Gammaproteobacteria; Enterobacterales; Enterobacteriaceae.